CGGCACAGAGGGAAGCCAGGUGGCGACACCGCGCGGAACCCGAAAGCCGUUCUCAGUUCGGAUCGGAGUCUGCAACCCGACUCCGUGAAGCUGGAUUCGCUAGUAAUCGCGCAUCAGCAUGCCGCGGUGAAUACGUUCCCGGGCCUUGUACACACCGCCCGUCACACCAUGAGAGUCGGGAACACCCGAAGUCCGUAGUCUAACCGCAAGGAGGGCGCGGCCGAAGGUGGGUUCGAUAAUUGGGGUGAAGUCGUAACAAGGUAGC
Molecule: ribosomal RNA, 265 nt
Filed under: uncultured bacterium
Lineage: Bacteria
Description: partial 16S ribosomal RNA
Rfam family: Bacterial small subunit ribosomal RNA
Source: RNAcentral